AGAGUUUGAUCAUGGCUCAGAGCGAACGCUAGCGGCAGGCUUAACACAUGCAAGUCGAGCGGGCGUAGCAAUACGUCAGCGGCAGACGGGUGAGUAACGCGUGGGAACAUACCUUUUGGUUCGGAACAACCCAGGGAAACUUGGGCUAAUACCGGAUAAGCCCUUACGGGGAAAGAUUUAUCGCCGAAAGAUUGGCCCGCGUCUGAUUAGCUAGUUGGUGAGGUAACGGCUCACCAAGGCGACGAUCAGUAGCUGGCCUGAGAGGAUGAUCAGCCACAUUGGGACUGAGACACGGCCCAAACUCCUACGGGAGGCAGCAGUGGGGAAUAUUGGACAAUGGGGGCAACCCUGAUCCAGCCAUGCCGCGUGAGUGAUGAAGGCCCUAGGGUUGUAAAGCUCUUUUGUGCGGGAAGAUAAUGACGGUACCGCAAGAAUAAGCCCCGGCUAACUUCGUGCCAGCAGCCGCGGUAAUACGAAGGGGGCUAGCGUUGCUCGGAAUCACUGGGCGUAAAGGGUGCGUAGGCGGGUCUUUAAGUCAGGGGUGAAAUCCUGGAGCUCAACUCCGGAACUGCCUUUGAUACUGAAGAUCUUGAGUUCGGGAGAGGUGAGUGGAACUGCGAGUGUAGAGGUGAAAUUCGUAGAUAUUCGCAAGAACACCAGUGGCGAAGGCGGCUCACUGGCCCGAUACUGACGCUGAGGC
Molecule: ribosomal RNA, 700 nt
Filed under: uncultured bacterium
Lineage: Bacteria
Description: bacterial SSU rRNA
Rfam family: Bacterial small subunit ribosomal RNA
Source: RNAcentral